This 685-nucleotide ribosomal RNA is filed under the name Salmonella enterica subsp. enterica. Its description in RNAcentral is "bacterial LSU rRNA". It matches the Rfam family "Bacterial large subunit ribosomal RNA", at positions 591 to 1276 of the family's 2925-position model. Lineage: Bacteria; Pseudomonadati; Pseudomonadota; Gammaproteobacteria; Enterobacterales; Enterobacteriaceae. The record is from RNAcentral.
GUGUGACUGCGUACCUUUUGUAUAAUGGGUCAGCGACUUAUAUUCUGUAGCAAGGUUAACCGAAUAGGGGAGCCGGAGGGAAACCGAGUCUUAACCGGGCGUUAAGUUGCAGGGUAUAGACCCGAAACCCGGUGAUCUAGCCAUGGGCAGGUUGAAGGUUGGGUAACACUAACUGGAGGACCGAACCGACUAAUGUUGAAAAAUUAGCGGAUGACCUGUGGCUGGGGGUGAAAGGCCAAUCAAACCGGGAGAUAGCUGGUUCUCCCCGAAAGCUAUUUAGGUAGCGCCUCGUGAAUUCAUCUCCGGGGGUAGAGCACUGUUUCGGCUAGGGGGCCAUCCCGGCUUACCAACCCGAUGCAAACUGCGAAUACCGGAGAAUGUUAUCACGGGAGACACACGGCGGGUGCUAACGUCCGUCGUGAAGAGGGAAACAACCCAGACCGCCAGCUAAGGUCCCAAAGUCAUGGUUAAGUGGGAAACGAUGUGGGAAGGCCCAGACAGCCAGGAUGUUGGCUUAGAAGCAGCCAUCAUUUAAAGAAAGCGUAAUAGCUCACUGGUCGAGUCGGCCUGCGCGGAAGAUGUAACGGGGCUAAACCAUGCACCGAAGCUGCGGCAGCGACACUGUGUGUUGUUGGGUAGGGGAGCGUUCUGUAAGCCUGUGAAGGUGUGUCGUGAGGCAUGCUGG